Molecule: non-coding RNA, 303 nt
Organism: Cricetulus griseus (Chinese hamster)
Lineage: Eukaryota; Metazoa; Chordata; Mammalia; Rodentia; Cricetidae
Source: RefSeq, a predicted model, not a curated record
AUAAUGAGUUGGCAAAUCGAAUGUCUUUGUUUUAUGCUGAGGCCACCCCAAUGCUGAAAACCUUAAGUGAUGCAACAACAAAAUUUGUAUCAGAGAAUAAGAAUUUACCAAUAGAAAACACCACAGACUGCUUAAGCACCAUGGCAAGUGUAUGCAGAGUCAUGCUGGAGACGCCGUGAGUAUUAGCCCAUCUUUCUCUUCAGCAAGAUAUCCAAAUACAAACUUGUCUGUGAGGAAAGAGAAAUGAAGUUUAUGCUAACCAUCAAAUGCUGAAUGUGGGAAUAAAGUCAAAAUAACUUGUCA